RNAcentral lists this long non-coding RNA (529 nucleotides) under Mytilus galloprovincialis (Mediterranean mussel). The record is from RNAcentral. Lineage: Eukaryota; Metazoa; Mollusca; Bivalvia; Mytilida; Mytilidae.
CAAUCCCAACCUUUUACAAUAAAUGCAAUGUAAAACUUUAUUUUGUGAUUAAAUGUGGGGAAUUAAUUCUUUGAUUUAGAAAUUUCUCAGAAAAUUAUCUUCAGAAUAAGAAAUCAGUGUGGCGUGUCAAUGUUACAUAAGUGCUAUUUAUAAAUAGUUAAUGUUGUAGAGUAUCAUUUGUUGUGUUUUGUUUGUAAUUGCUCACCUUAUGAAGGAUACUGUUACCAUGGUGAUCUGCUUGUCAUGUUUCAUGUGAUCACAAAAUAAAUAUAAACACCUAUUGUUUUGUGCUUUUGAUUAUUAUUUUAUUUUAAUGGUAGAAAAUCAUGCAUUACAUAUAGUUAUGGCCAAGGUGGAAUUUACUUUCUUAUUUCUUUAAAACGAAGUGGAUUAAUAAUACACAAAACAUAGCCAGAAAUUAGUAGUACUUUUGCUAAUUAAUAUUCAUAAUAUGUAUAUGAGAAUUGUACCACGUGAUAAUAGUUUGAACUGGACUGGUUCUGAUAUCAUUAAAAUCUUUAAAUCACGG